ACCUCCUCCAGGAGCCCCGCCACCUCCUGCCACCCGGACUUUCCCCACAGCGCAGCGUCCCCUCGUCCUCUCAGGGCUGGAACAGCGGUACCCGCAGACAGUGCAAAAGGGAAGUCCCUGUUGCCUUCCCAUGCAAACUGUAGGGCGCUUACAGCUGCUGGGAGAGGAAAGGAAAGAAGAAAUACAAGCCUGUGACCCGGAUCCAACCCGCGGCGCACAGACCCCGGCUCUGGGCACCCCUGGUGAGCGCCUUCUGCGCCAGAGCUCCGUACAGCACCAGCCCGCGCUCUCCCCCAGCUUCUGUUCAUUUGCUGCAGUCCUGACGGAGACACUGCGUUAUCACUGUCAAGGCAGCUUUGCAGAGAGCUCUACCAUCAAAGCCGCCAGGAAGACAGACCUCCACAGGAACCUGGGAGGGCCAGCAGCAUGGGGAGGGCCAUGUGUAAAGAAAGAAGGCUUGAAGGUGGCCACACAAGGCCAGGGCUCCCCACAGGACGGCGGGAGGUGUGGCACUGAUAACAGAUAUGGCCCAGUGGGAUGACAUGGCAGACUUCCCACCUGCCUAUAGUCCUGAGAAGCGACAUGGCUGACUUAGGGAGUUUAUUUUAGUUUGCUGUUGGGUGUCAGCUCCUCUAAGACACAAGCUGGUGCUGGCAAAGUAAAAGAAAGCUGGGCUUGCUUGAAAAGUGACUUGAUUAUAUCAACAUGUCUAAUGUCUCUUGUCUGCUUCUCCUUUGUCUGAGAGAUGGGGGAAAGCUGGGAGCAAAGCCAGUCUGUGUCACCUGCAUUUGAGCAGCAUGUGAGGCCUGCAGACAUUUCUCCUGCCAGCUGUCCUUUGGGUGGCAGAUGCAUUCCCCACAUUGCAGUGUGGCAUAGAUGGGGAGGCAGGGCUUUGAGCUCUCCCCUGUUUUCAACAUACACAUACUACACCUGCAAGGGCUCACACUACAAGUACAGGUGAAGAAGAGGUGGGAAAGAUUUAAGAUGUGUGAUUUACAUGUGGAAAUUAUAUGCAUUUUAGAAUACAUCUAUAUCUUUACAUUUCAUGUUAUAUAGAGCAUGCAUAGCAUGUGUAUGUGUAUAUAUAUCUAUAUGUCACAAUACAUACAGUAAAUUGUGGAAUCCA
Molecule: long non-coding RNA, 1126 nt
Organism: Homo sapiens (human)
Lineage: Eukaryota; Metazoa; Chordata; Mammalia; Primates; Hominidae
Source: Ensembl